UACGGAGGAGGCAAGCGUUAUCCGGAAUUAUUGGGCGUAAAGCGUCCGUAGGUGGUUUAGUAAGUCUGCUGUUAAAGCGCGGGGCUUAACUCCGUAUCGGCAGUGGAAACUACUAGACUAGAGUGUGGUAGGGGUAGAGGGAAUUCCCAGUGUAGCGGUGAAAUGCGUAGAUAUUGGGAAGAACACUGGUGGCGAAGGCGCUCUACUGGGCCAUAACUGACACUGAUGGACGAAAGCUAGGGGAGCGAAAGGG
This 253-nucleotide ribosomal RNA is filed under the name uncultured bacterium. Its description in RNAcentral is "partial 16S ribosomal RNA". It matches the Rfam family "Bacterial small subunit ribosomal RNA", at positions 524 to 776 of the family's 1533-position model. The record is from RNAcentral.